AUGCAUAUCACGAAGAACGUGUGCGAGAGUCUGCUUGGUACCCUGCUCAACAUGCCAGAGAGGACCAAAGAUGGGCCGAAAGCAAGGGCAGACUUGAAAUCAAUGGGCAUCAGGGAGGAGCUUCACGCUAAUGAUGAUGAUGAUGAGGCGAAGCAGGACACGGAAAGUCGUCGCAAAGGCAAAAAGGCCAAGAAGACCGGAAAUGACUUCCCUCCCGCGUGCUUCACUCUAAGUCAGGAGGAGAUCGAUCAGUUUUUCACCUGCCUCGUAGGAGUAAAACUUCCUUACGGUUACGCGGGGAAGAUAAUCAGAUACCUAGACUCAGCGAAGCAAAAGUUCAGCGGGAUGAAGUCUCACGACUGUCACGUGCUGAUGACGCAGAUACUUCCAGUUGCAAUCCGUGGGAUCAUGGACGCGCACGUCCGUGAAACGCUAUUUGGCCUAUGCAACUUUUUCGACGUCAUCUCUCGAAAGUCGGUUGGCGUGAGGCAACUCAGAAGGCUACAGGAAGAGAUCGUGGUGAUACUAUGCGAGCUUGAGAUGUACUUCCCGCCCGCAUUCUUCGACGUUAUGGUGCAUCUGCUGGUCCAUAUCUUGGAGGAUAUCAUCCAACUUGGGCCGACGUUCCUGCACAGCAUUAUGCCAUUCGAAAGGAUGAAUGGUGUCAUCAAAGGAUAUGUUCGCAACAUGUCACGUCCAGAGGGAAGCAUAGCUCAUGUUUCACGCGUUGGUUCAAGCAGAAGCUUUGGUCGUACCCUUUACAUGUUUCACGCGUUGGUUCGGACGGAGAUAUAA
Molecule: ribosomal RNA, 795 nt
Filed under: Triticum aestivum (bread wheat)
Lineage: Eukaryota; Viridiplantae; Streptophyta; Magnoliopsida; Poales; Poaceae
Description: partial small subunit ribosomal RNA
Source: RNAcentral